AUUGAACGCUGGCGGCAGGCCUAACACAUGCAAGUCGAACGGUAACAGGAAGCAGCUUGCUGCUUCGCUGACGAGUGGCGGACGGGUGAGUAAUGUCUGGGAAACUGCCUGAUGGAGGGGGAUAACUACUGGAAACGGUAGCUAAUACCGCAUAACGUCGCAAGACCAAAGAGGGGGACCUUAUGGCCUCUUGCCAUCGGAUGUGCCCAGAUGGGAUUAGCUAGUAGGUGGGGUAACGGCUCACCUAGGCGACGAUCCCUAGCUGGUCUGAGAGGAUGACCAGCCGCACUGGAACUGAGACACGGUCCAGACUCCUACGGGAGGCAGCAGUGGGGAAUAUUGCACAAUGGGCGCAAGCCUGAUGCAGCCAUGCCGCGUGUAUGAAGAAGGCCUUCGGGUUGCAAAGUACUUUCAGCGGGGAGGAAGGGAGUAAAGUUAAUACCUUUGCUCAUUGACGUUACCCGCAGAAGAAGCACCGGCUAACUCCGUG
RNAcentral lists this ribosomal RNA (490 nucleotides) under uncultured bacterium. Its description in RNAcentral is "partial 16S ribosomal RNA". It matches the Rfam family "Bacterial small subunit ribosomal RNA", at positions 30 to 507 of the family's 1533-position model. The record is from RNAcentral.